This is a long non-coding RNA of Astatotilapia calliptera (eastern happy), 1028 nucleotides long. The record is from Ensembl. Lineage: Eukaryota; Metazoa; Chordata; Actinopteri; Cichliformes; Cichlidae.
GCCAAACUGAGUUACUUUUUUGAAGAAGUAACUAUAUAAUUAAUUGCCCAAAAUUGGUCAUUAUAUGCUGUGUUUUGCAGACAGAGAGUUACAGACUCUCUCCCAGACCACAGACUCAUACUCAUACGAUUGUAUGGUUGCCGGUUCGAGCCCCGGCUUGGACAGUCUCGGCAGGGCUCUAGAGUGCGACCAAUUUGGUCGCAAAUGCGACCAAAUUGGUGCGACUAAAAAAAAAAAAUUUGGUUGCACCUGUGCGACCAACUGUUCGGGUAGCAAAAAAAAAAAAUCUGCAACCUUCCCUGUGGUCAACAACAGACACACGUUAUGCCCCUAUCGUGGACUAAACCAAUCAGAGAUAGUAAGGGGCGGGACCUCUCUGAUUGGCCGUGGUCCAGUUGAAAGUGCAGGUGGAGAGAGGGAGGUGAGUAGCUUGAAUAAAGCGAUAUCAAUUCAUUAAAUCCUGAAUCGACUUUUAAACAUAACUGUGUUUUGCCAGAAACGCCAGAUUCUCAGAUUAAAGCUCACAAAACCAUUUCAACAACAACCAAACAGCAAAUGAGAGCAGGUACACGGACUCCACACAAAGACGUAAACACAGAACGGACCCGACGCAUCAGAAUCAACUUUGUCUUUCUCGGCUUUCUCACCCGACGGCCCGUAGACGGACACGCUGUCGGAGCUUAGCGAUCCUGAUGCGUCCGGUCCGCGCUGUGAUUACGUCUUUUUGCGCUGAUUCUGAGCUGCAGGUUUUGUCUCUCCAACCAAAAUUCACCGAGCCAGCAGCAAAAGAAGCAGCAAACUGCGCUUCACAUUUGAUCAAUGUCGUCAUGAAUUUUGCUGUUUUGCUUCCACGACUAUUAAAAUCACACUUCAUGCACAGCUAGCUCUCUCUCUCUCUCUCUGUACUUCAAGAACAGUUUCCCGUCUCCAAUCUCUGUUUUCUGUAUUAUUCAUUCGCUUAUUACCCACCAGUCUACCGUUGUUUACAGCGCUGUGGCUGCUGUCUUUUUCUUAUCUUUUUUUCACUU